This 45-nucleotide non-coding RNA is filed under the name Schistosoma mattheei. Lineage: Eukaryota; Metazoa; Platyhelminthes; Trematoda; Strigeidida; Schistosomatidae. The record is from RNAcentral.
CGAUGAUGAGGAGUCCCACAAUAGGACGAAACGACCGUUCAGUGC